AAGUCGUAACAAGGUAUCCGUAGGUGAACCUGCGGAUGGAUCAUUAUCACGUUAUCCACGUAUCAACCAUUGUGAACUGUUGAUGUAUAUAUUGUUGUUUGUUGGGGGGUUUCCCCUAACUUUCAUUAAUAUAUAUAUUUUUAUUAUUAACUAUUAAUGCUAGUCAAUAUUCGUCUAAUCAAGUUAUAUUUUUAAUUUAAAAACAACUUUUGACAACGGAUCUCUUGGCUCUC
This 233-nucleotide unclassified non-coding RNA is filed under the name fungal sp. RNAcentral's name for it is "partial internal transcribed spacer region". The stretch from base 1 to 46 matches the Rfam family "Eukaryotic small subunit ribosomal RNA", at positions 1786 to 1831 of the family's 1831-position model. The record is from RNAcentral. Lineage: Eukaryota; Fungi.